Molecule: ribosomal RNA, 405 nt
Filed under: uncultured bacterium
Lineage: Bacteria
Description: partial 16S ribosomal RNA
Rfam family: Bacterial small subunit ribosomal RNA
Source: RNAcentral
GAUGAACGCUGGCGGCGUGCCUAAUACAUGCAAGUCGAGCGAAGCGGGGACGGGUGAGUAACAUGUGGAUAACCUCAUAUAAGACUGGGAUAACUCAGGAAAACCGGAGCUAAACCGGAUACUUAUCGAUGGAUCCGCGCUGCAUUGGCUGGUUGGUAAUGUAACGGCUUACCAAGGCAACGAUGCAUGGCCGACCUGAGAGGAUGAUCGGCCACACUGGAACUUAGACACGGUCCAGACUCCUACGGUAGGCAGCAGUAGGGAAUCUUCCGCAAUGGGCGAAAGCCUGACGGAGCAAUGCCGCGUGAGUGAUGAAGGUCUUCGGGUCGUAAAACUCUGUUAUUAGGGAAGCGUUACCUAAUCAGAAAGCCACGGCUAACUACGUGCCAGCAGCCGCGGUAAUAC